GCGGACGGGUGAGUAAUGUAUGGGGAUCUGCUGAUGGCGGGGAUACUACUGAACGGUAGCUAAUACGCAUAAUGUCUUCGGACAAAGCGGGGGACUUCGGGCUCGCGCCAUCAGAUGAACCCAUAUGGAUUAGCUUGUAGGUGAGGUACGGCUCACUAGGCGAGAUCCCUAGCUGGUCUGAGAGGAUGAUCAGCCACACUGACUGAGACACGGCCCAGAACUCCUACGGGAGGCAGCAGUGGGGAAUAUUGCCAAUGGCGCAAGCCUGAUGCAGCCAUGCCGGUGUAUGAAGAAGGCCUUCGGGUUGUAAAGUACUUUCAGUCGGGAGGGAGGGUGGUAAGGUUAAUAACCUUAUCAAUUGACGUUACCGACAGAAAGAAGCACCGGUUAACUCCGUGCCAGCAGCCCGGGGUAAAUACGGGAGGGGUGCAAGGCGGUUAAUCGGAGUUACUGGGGCGUAAAAGCGCACGCAGGGGGUUGAAUUGGGGUCAAGAUGUGAAAUCCCCGGGGCUUAAACCCGGGGAAAUUGGCAUCCUGAUUACUGGUCAGCUAAGAAGUCUUGGUAAGAGGGGGGGGUAAGAAAUUCCAUGGUGGUAGGCG
This 600-nucleotide ribosomal RNA is filed under the name uncultured bacterium. Its description in RNAcentral is "bacterial SSU rRNA". It matches the Rfam family "Bacterial small subunit ribosomal RNA", at positions 98 to 681 of the family's 1533-position model. The record is from RNAcentral.